This 245-nucleotide ribosomal RNA is filed under the name uncultured bacterium. RNAcentral's name for it is "partial 16S ribosomal RNA". It matches the Rfam family "Bacterial small subunit ribosomal RNA", at positions 524 to 769 of the family's 1533-position model. The record is from RNAcentral.
UACGUAGGGGCUAGACGUUGUCCGGAUUUCAUUGGGCGUAAAGAGCGUGUAGGCGGCCAGGUAGGUCUGCUGUGAAAACUCGAGGCUCAACCUCGAGACGCUGGCGGAAACCUCUGACUAGAGUCCGGAAGAGGAGAGUGGAAUCCUGGUGUAGCGGUGAAAUGCGCAGAUAUCAGGAAGAACACCCGUGGCGAAGGCGGCUCUCUGGGACGGUACUGACGCUGAGACGCGAAAGCGUGGGGGAG